GUUGGCCAGCCCCACCCCCCAAGGCUAUAGCCCACCAGUUUUUGUGGCCUUUAUCCGCUGGACGAACUUGGCGCCCCGGCCGUCGGGCGGUUAUUUUUGGGCGCGGCUUUGCCCGCGGCCUAUUUUUGGCACACGGAGGCCCCUCGCAAAGUCUAGCGGGAUUCCGAGUCCGGCGGACGAAGUUGGCCAGCCCCACCCCCCAAGGCUAUAGCCCACCCGUUUUUGUGGCCUUUUUCCGCUGGACGAACUUGGCGCCGCGGCCGUCGGGCGGUUUUUUUUGGGUGCGGCUUUGUCCGCGGCCUAUGUUUUGCACACGGAUGCCCCUCGCAAAGUCUCGCGGUAUUCCGAGUCCGGCGGAUAAAGUUGGCCAGCCCCACCCCCCAAGGCUAUAGCCCACCCGUUUUUGUGGCCUUUUUCCGCUGGACGAACUUGGCGCCCCGGCCUUCGGGCGGUUAUUUUUGGGUGGGGCUUUGCCCGUGGCCUAUUUUUGGCACACAGAGGCCCCUCGCAAAGUCUCGCGGCAUUCCAAGUCCGGCGGACGAAGAUGGCCAGCCCCACCCCCCAAGGCUAUAGCCCACCCGUUUUUGUGGCCUUUUUCCGCUGGACGAACUUGGCGCCCCGGCCUUCGGGCGGUUAUUUUUGGGGGCGGCUUUGCCCGCGUCAUAUUUUUGGCACACGGAGGCCCCUCGCAAAGUCUAGCGGGAUUCCGAGUCCGGCGGACGAAGUUGGCCAGCCCCACCCCCCAAGGCUAUAGCCCACCCGUUUUUGUGGCCUUUUUCCGCUGGACGAACUUGGCGCCGCGGCCGUCGGGCGGUUUUUUUUGGGUGCGGCUUUGUCCGCGGCCUAUGUUUUGCACACGGAUGCCCCUCGCAAAGUCUAGCGGGAUUCCGAGUCCGGCGGACGAAGUUGGCCAGCCCCACCCCCCAAGGCUAUAGCCCACCCGUUUUUGUGGCCUUUUUCCGCUGGACGAACUUGGCGCCGCGGCCGUCGGGCGGUUUUUUUUGGGUGCGGCUUUGUCCGCGGCCUAUGUUUUGCACACGGAUGCCCCUCGCAAAGUCUCGCGGUAUUCCGAGUCCGGCGGAUAAAGUUGGCCAGCCCCACCCCCCAAGGCUAUAGCCCACCCGUUUUUGUGGCCUUUUUCCGCUGGAUGAACUUGGCGCCCCGGCCUACGAGCGGUUAUUUUUGGGCGCGGCUUUGUCCGCGGCCUAUUUUUGGUACACGGAGGCCCCUCGCAAAGUCUCGCGGUGUUCCGAGUCCGGCGGACGAAGUUGGCCAGCCCCACCCCCCAAGGCUAUAGCCCACCCGUUUUUGCGGCCUUUUACCGCUGGACGAACUUGGCGCCCCGGCCUUCGGGCGGUUAUUUUUGGGCGUGGCUUUGCCCGCGGCCUAUUUGUUGCACACGGAGGCCCUUCGCAAAGUCUCGCGGCAUUCCGAGUCCGGCGGACGAAGUCGGCCAGCCCCACCCCCCAAGGCUAUAGCCCACCCGUUUUUGUGGCCUUUUUCCGCUGGACGAACUUGGCUCUCCAGCCGUCGGGCGGUUAUUUUUGGGCGCGGCUUUGUCCGUGGCCUAUUUUUAGCACACGGAGGCCCCUCGCAAAGUCUAACGGCAUUCCGAGUCCGACGGACGAAGUUGUCCAGCCCCACCCCCCAAGGCUAUAGCCCACCCGUUUUUGUGGCCUUUUUCCGCUAGACGAACUUGGCGCCCCGGCCGUCGGGCGGUUAUUUUUGGGCGCGGCUUUGCCCGCGGCCUAUUUUUGGCACACGGAGGCCCCUCGCAAAGUCUAGCGGGAUUCCGAGUCCGGCGGACGAAGUUGGCCAGCCCCACCCCCCAAGGCUAUAGCCCACCCGUUUUUGUGGCCUUUUUCCGCUGGACGAACUUGGCGCCGCGGCCGUCGGGCGGUUUUUUUUGGGUGCGGCUUUGUCCGCGGCCUAUGUUUUGCACACGGAUGCCCCUCGCAAAGUCUCGCGGUAUUCCGAGUCCGGCGGAUAAAGUUGGCCAGCCCCACCCCCCAAGGCUAUAGCCCACCCGUUUUUGUGGCCUUUUUCCGCUGGACGAACUUGGCGCCCCGGCCUUCGGGCGGUUAUUUUUUGGUGCGGCUUUGCCCGUUGCCUAUUUUUGGCACACAGAGGCCCCUCGCAAAGUCUCGCGGCAUUCCAAGUCCGGCGGACGAAGAUGGCCAGCCCCACCCCCCAAGGCUAUAGCCCACCCGUUUUUGUGGCCUUUUUCCGCUGGACGAACUUGGCGCCCCGGCCUUCGGGCGGUUAUUUUUGGGGGCGGCUUUGCCCGCGACCUAUUUUUGGUACACGGAGGCCCCUCGCAAAGUCUCGCGGCAUUCCGAGUCCGGCGGACGAUGUGGGCCAGCCACACCCUCCAAGGCUAUAGCCCACCCGUUUUUGUGGCCUUUUUCCGCUGGAUGAACUUGGCGCCCCGGCCUACGAGCGGUUAUUUUUGGGCGCGGCUUUGUCCGCGGCCUAUUUUUGGUACACGGAGGCCCCUCGCAAAGUCUCGCGGUGUUCCGAGUCCGGCGGACGAAGUUGGCCAGCCCCACCCCCCAAGGCUAUAGCCCACCCGUUUUUGCGGCCUUUUACCGCUGGACGAACUUGGCGCCCCGGCCUUCGGGCGGUUAUUUUUGGGCGUGGCUUUGUCCACGGUCUAUUAUUGGUACACGGAGGCCCCUCGCAAAGUCUCGCGGUGUUCCGAGUCCGGCGGACGAAGUUGGCCAGCCCCAACCCCCAAGGCGAUAGCCCACCCAUUUUUGUAGCCAUUUUCCGCUGGACGAACUUGGCGCCCCGGCCUUCGGGCGGUUAUUUUUGGGCGUGGCUUUGUCCACGGCCUAUUUUUGGUACACGGAGGCCCCUCGCAAAGUCUCGCGGUGUUCCGAGUCCGGCGGACGAAGUGGGCCAGCCCCAACCCCCAAGGCUAUAGCCCACCCAUUUUUGUAGCCAUUUUCCGCUGGACGAACUUGGCGCCCCGGCCUUCGGGCAGUUAAUUUUGGGCGCGGCUUUGCCCAUGUCCUAUUUUUGGCACACGGAGGCCCCUCGCAAAGUCUCGCGGCAUUCCGAGUCCGGCGGACGAAGUUGGCCAGCAUCACCCCCCAAGGCUAUAGCCCACCCGUUUUUGUGGCCUUUUUCCGCUGGACGAACUAGGCGCCCCAGCCUUCGUGUGGUUAUUUUUGGGUGCGGCUUUGUCCGCGGCCUAUUUUUGGCACACGGAGGCCCCUCGUAAAGUCUCACGGCAUUCCGAGUCCGGCGGACGAAGUUGGCCAGCCCCACCCCCCAAGGCUAUAGCCCACCCGUUUUUGUGGCCUUUUUCCGCUGGACGAACUUGGCGCCCCAGCCUUCGGGCGGUUAUUUUUGGGCACGGCUUUGCCUGCGGCCUAUUUUUGGCACACGGAGGCCCCUCGCAAAGUCUCGCGAUAUUCCGAGUCCGGCGGACGAAGUGGGCCAGCCCCACCCCCCAAUGGUAUAGCCCACCCGUUUUUGUGGCCUUUUUCCGCUGGGAGAACUUGGCGCCCCGGCCGUCGGGCGGUUAUUUUUGGGCUCGGCUUUGCCUGCAGCCUAUUUUUGGCACACGGAGGCCCCGCGCAAAGUCUCUUGGCAUUCCGAGUCCGGCGGACGAAGUGGGCCAGCCCCAACCCCCAAGGCUAUAGCCCACAUGUUUUUGUGGCCUUUUUCCGCUGGAUGAACUUGGCGCCCCGGCCUUCGGGCGGUUAUUUUUGGGUGCGGCUUUGCCCGCGGCCUAUUUUUGGCACACGGAGGCCCCUCGCAAAGUCUUGCGGCAUUCCGAGUCCGGCGGACGAAGUUGGCCAGCCCCACCCCCCAAGGCUAUAGCCCACCCGUUUUUGUGGCCUUUUUCCGCUGGACGAACUUGGCGCCCCGGCCUUCGGGCGGUUAUUUUGGGGCGCGGCUUUGCCCGCGGCCUAUUUUUGGCACACGGAGGCCCCUCGCCAAGUCUAGCGGCAUUCCGAGUCCGACGGACGAAGUUGGCCAGCCCCACCCCCCAAGGCUGUAGCCCACCCGUUUUUGUGGCCUUUUUCCGCUGGACGAACUUGGCGCCCCGGCCUUCGGGCGGUUAUUUUUGAGCGUGGCUUUGUCCGCAGCCUAUUUUUGGCACACGGAGACCCCUCGCAAUGUCUCGCGGCAUUCCGAAUCCGGCGGACGAAGUUGGCCAGCCCUACCCCCAAGGCUAUAGCCCACCCGUUUUUGUGGCCUUUUUCCGCUGGACGAACUUGGCGGCCCGGCCUUCGGGCGGUUAUUUUUGCGCGCGGCUUUGCCCGCGGCCUAUUUUUGGCACACGGAAGGCCCCUCAUAAAGUCUCGCGGCAUUCUGAGUGCAGCGGACGAAGUUGACCAUCCCCACCCCCCAAGGCUAUAGCCCACCCGUUUUUGUGGCCUUUUUCCGCUGGACGAACUUGGUGCCCCGGCCUUCGGGCGGUUAAUUUUGGGCGCGGCUUUGCCCGCGGCCUAUUUUUGGCACACGGCAGGCCCUAGCAAUGUCUCACGGCAUUCCGAGUCCGGCGGACGAAGUUGGCCAGCAUCAACACCCAAGGCUAUAGCCCACCCGUUUUUGUGGCCUUUUUCCGCUGGACGAACUUGGCGCCCCGGCCUUCGGGCGGUUACAUUUAGGCACGGCUUUGCCCGCGGCCUAUUUUUGGCACGCGGAGGCCCCUCGCAAAGUCUCGCGGCAUUCCGAGACCGGCGGACGAAGUUGGCCAGCCCCACCCCCCAAGGCUAUAGCCCACCCGUUUUUGUGGCCUUUUUCCGCUGGACGAACUUGGCGCCCCGGCCGUCGGGCGGUUAUUUUUGGGCGCGGCUUUGCCCGCGGCCUAUUUUUGGCACACGGAGGCCCCUCGCAAAGUAUAGCGGCAUUCCGAGUCCGGCGGACGAAGUUGGCCAGCAUCACCCCCCAAGGCUAUGGCCCACCCGUUUUUGUGGCCUUUUUCCGCUGGAUGACCUUGGCGCCCCAGCCUUCAGGCGGUUAAUUUUGGGUGCAGCUUUGNNNNNNNNNNNNNNNNNNNNNNNNNNNNNNNNNNNNNNNNNNNNNNNNNNNNNNNNNNNNNNNNNNNNNNNNNNNNNNNNNNNNNNNNNNNNNNNNNNNNNNNNNNNNNNNNNNNNNNNNNNNNNNNNNNNNNNNNNNNNNNNNNNNNNNNNNNNNNNNNNNNNNNNNNNNNNNNNNNNNNNNNNNNNNNUCAUUUCUGGUACACGGAGGCCCCUCGCAAAGUCUCGCGGCAUACCGAGUCCCGCAUACGAAGUUGGCUAGCCCCACCCCCCAAGGCUAUAGCCCACCAUUUUUUUGUGGCCUUUUUCCGCUGGACGAACUUGGCGCCCCGGCCUUCGAGCGGUUAUUUUUGGGCGCGGCUUUGCCCGCGGCCUAUUUCUGGUACACGGAGGCCCCUCGCAAAGUCUCGCGGCAUACCGAGUCCGGCAGACGAAGUUGGCCAGCAUCAGCCCCCAAGGCUAUAGCCCACCCGUUUUUGUGGCCUUUUGGACGAACUUGGCGCCCCGGCCGUCGGGUGGUAAUUUUUUAGCGCGGCUUUGCCCACGGCCUAUUUUUGCACACGGAGGCCCCUCGCAAAGUCUCGCGUCAUUCCGAGUCCGGCGGACGAAGUUGGCCAGCAUCAGCCCCCAAGGCUAUAGCCCACCCGUUUUUGUGGCCUUUUUCCGUGGGACGAACUUAGCGCCCCGGCCGUCGGGCGGUUAUUUUUGGGCGCGGCUUUGCCCGUGGCCUAUUUUUUGCACACGGAGGCCCCUCGCCAAGUCUAGCGGCAUUCCGAGUCCGACGGACGAAGUUGGCAAGCCCCACCCCCCAAGGCUAUAGCCAACCCGUUUUUGUGGCCUUUUUCCGCUGGACGAACUUGGCGCCCCGGCCGUCGGGCGGUUAUUUUUGGGCGCGGCUUUGUCUGCAGAAUAUUUUUGGCACACGGAGGCCCCUCGCAAAGUCUAGCGGCAUUCCGAGUCCGACGGACGAAGUUGGCGAACCCCACCCCCCAAGGCUAUAGCCAACCCGUUUUUGUGGCCUUUUUCCGCUGGACGAACUUGGGGCCCCGGCCGUCGGGCGGUUAUUUUUGGGUGCGGCUUUGCCUGCGGAAUAUUUUUGCACACGGAGGCCCCUUGCAAUGUCUCGCGGCAUUCCGCGUCCGGCGGACGAAGUUGGCCAGCCCCACCCCCCAAGGCUAUAGCCCACCAGUUUUUGUGGCCUUUUUCCGCUGGACGAACUUGGCGCCCCGGCCUUCGGGCGGUUACAUAUAGGCACGGCUUUGCCCGCGGCCUAUUUUUGGCACGCGGAGGCCCCUCGCAAAGUCUCGCGGCAUUCCGAGUGCGGAGGACGAAGUUGGCCAGCCCCACCCCCCAAGGCUAUAGCCCACCCGUUUAUCUGGCCUUUUUCCGCUGGACGAACUUGGCGCCCCGGCCUUCGGGCGGUUAUUUUUGGGUGCGGCUUUGCCCACGGCCUAUUUUUGGCACAUGGAGGCCCCUCGCAAACUCUCGCGGCAUUCCGAGUCCGGCGGACGAAGUGGGCCAGCAUCACCCCUCAAGGCUAUAGCCCACCCGUUUUUGUGGCCUUUUUCCGCUGGACGAACUUGGCGCCCCGGAACUUGCUGCUGCUACCUAUCUAUAAAAUGCACUACAAAAUUUUAUCACUAGAUAACAUAAAAUUUUGAACCAUGAACCUUUUAAACAUCCCACGGCCUAUUUUUGGCACACGGAGGCCCCUCGCAAAGUCUCGCGGCAUUCCGANNNNNNNNNNNNNNNNNNNNNNNNNNNNNNNNNNNNNNNNNNNNNNNNNNNNNNNNNNNNNNNNNNNNNNNNNNNNNNNNNNNNNNNNNNNNNNNNNNNNNNNNNNNNNNNNNNNNNNNNNNNNNNNNNUGGCCUAUAUUUGGCACUCGGCGGCCUUUCACAAAGUCUCGCGGCAUUCCGACUCCGGCGGACGAAGUUGGCCAGCCCCACCCCCCAAGGCUAUAGCCCACCCGUUUUUGUGGCCUUUUUCCGCUGGACGAACUUGGCGCCCCGGCCUUCGGGCGGUUACAUUUAGGCGCGGCUUUGCCCGCGGCCUAUUUUUGGCACGCGGAGGCCCCUCACAAAGUCUCGCGGCAUUCCGAGACCGGCGGACGAAGUUGGCCAGCCCCACCCCCCAAGGCUAUAGCCCACCCGUUUUUGUGGCCUUUUUCCGCUGGACGAACUUGGCGCCCCGGCCGUCGGGCGGUUAUUUUUGGGCGCGGCUUUGUCCGCGGCCUAUUUUUGGCACACGGAGGCCCCUCGCAAAGUAUAGCGGCAUUCCGAGUCCGGCGGACGAAGUUGGCCAGCAUCACCCCCCAAGGCUAUAGCCCACCCGUUUUUGUGGCCUUUUUCCGCUGGAUGACCCUGGCGCCCCGGCCUUCAGGCGGUUAAUUUUGGGCGCAGCUUUGCCCGCGGCCUAUUUUUGGCACACGGAGGCCCCUCGCAAAGUCUCGCGGCAUUCUGAGUCCGGCGGACGAAGUCGGCCAGCCCCACCCCCCAAGGCUAUAGCCCACCCGUUUUUGUGGCCUUUUUCCGCUGGACAAACUUGGCGCCCCGGCCUUCAGGUGGUUAUUUUUGGGCGCGGCUUAGCCCGCGGCCUGUUUUUGGCACACGGAGGCCCCUGGCAAAGUCUCGCGGCAUUCCGAGUGCGGCGGACGAAGUUGGCCAGCCCCACCCCCCAAGGCUAUAGCCCACCCGUUUAUCUGGCCUUUUUCCGCUGGACGAACUUGGCGCCCCGGCCUUCGGGCGGUUAAUUUUGGGCGCGGCUUUGCCCGCGGCCUAUUUUUGGCACAUGGAGGCCCCUGGUAAACUCUCGCGGCAUUCCGAGUCAGGCGGACGAAGUUGGCCAGCAUCACCCCUCAAGGCUAUAGCCCACCCGUUUUUGUGGCCUUUUUCCGCUGGACGAACUUGGCGCCCCGGAACUUGCUGCUGCUACCUAUCUAUAAAAUGCACUACAAAAUUUUAUCACUAGAUAACAUAAUAUUUUGAACCAUGAAUCUUUUAAACAUCCCAGGGCCUAUUUUUGGCACACGGAGGCCCCUCGCAAAGUCUCGCGGCAUUCCGAGUCCGGCAGACGAAGUUGGCCAGCCCCACCCCCCAAGGCUAUAGCCCACCGGUUUUUGUGGCCUGUUUCCGCUGGACGAACUUGCCACCCCGGCCUUCGGGCGGUUAAUUUUG
RNAcentral lists this long non-coding RNA (8171 nucleotides) under Citrus x clementina. RNAcentral's name for it is "Citrus clementina (C. clementina) long non-coding RNA (CCLE_LNC003805)". Lineage: Eukaryota; Viridiplantae; Streptophyta; Magnoliopsida; Sapindales; Rutaceae. The record is from RNAcentral.